This 254-nucleotide ribosomal RNA is filed under the name uncultured bacterium. Its description in RNAcentral is "partial 16S ribosomal RNA". It matches the Rfam family "Bacterial small subunit ribosomal RNA", at positions 524 to 776 of the family's 1533-position model. The record is from RNAcentral.
GACGGAGGGUGCAAGCGUUGUUCGGAAUUACUGGGCGUAAAGCGCGUGUAGGCGGGUCGGUGCGUCGGCCGCUGAAAUCCCCCGGCUCAACCGGGGAAGGGGCGCCGAUACGGCCGGCCUGGAGCGACGUAGGGGGGACUGGAACUUCCGGUGGAGCGGUGGAAUGCGCAGAUAUCAGGAGGAACACCGAUGGCGAAGGCAGUUCUCUGGGCCGUAACUGACGCUGAGGAGCGAAAGCGUGGGGAGCGAACAGG